This 137-nucleotide small RNA is filed under the name uncultured Mediterraneibacter sp. RNAcentral describes it as "Ribosomal protein L10 leader". It matches the Rfam family "Ribosomal protein L10 leader". From Rfam's summary of the family: This family is a putative r-protein leader autoregulatory structure found in B. subtilis and other low-GC Gram-positive bacteria. It is located in the 5' untranslated regions of mRNAs encoding ribosomal proteins L10 and L12 (rplJ-rplL). The record is from RNAcentral. Lineage: Bacteria; Bacillati; Bacillota; Clostridia; Lachnospirales; Lachnospiraceae.
UAUAAUACAGCAACUGCCGAAGACAGUAGGUGCUGUAAAGCGUAAGGAUUAAAACGCCUACCGAGGAAAGUGAGAUUUAUUACGAAAGUAUGAAUUUGCAAACCUCUGUGUCUUUGGAUGCAGAGGUUUUUUGUUUG